UCCUCAUUGUGCAUGCUGUGUG
This 22-nucleotide microRNA is filed under the name Danio rerio (zebrafish). RNAcentral's name for it is "Dre-Mir-460-P2_5p (mature (guide))". The record is from RNAcentral. Lineage: Eukaryota; Metazoa; Chordata; Actinopteri; Cypriniformes; Danionidae. RNAcentral also lists the same sequence under 11 other names.